CGCGUAGGCUGUGCUGCAAGUCAGGCGUGAAAGGCCCGGGCUCAACCUGGGAACUGCGCAUGAUACUGCGGCGCUUGAAGGCGGGAGAGGAUGGCGGAAUUCCCAGUGUAGAGGUGAAGUUCGUAGAUAUUGGGAAGAACACCGGUGGCGAAGGCGGCCAUCUGGCCCGCAAUUGACGCUGAGGCGCGAAAGCGUGGGGAGCAAACAGGAUUAGAUACCCUGGUAGUCCACGCCGUAAACGAUGAGUGCUAGACGUCGGGGAGCUUGCUCUUCGGUGUCGCCGCUAACGCAUUAAGCACUCCGCCUGGGGAGUACGGUCGCAAGAUUAAA
Molecule: ribosomal RNA, 330 nt
Filed under: uncultured bacterium
Lineage: Bacteria
Description: bacterial SSU rRNA
Rfam family: Bacterial small subunit ribosomal RNA
Source: RNAcentral